Molecule: long non-coding RNA, 1019 nt
Organism: Myodes glareolus (Bank vole)
Lineage: Eukaryota; Metazoa; Chordata; Mammalia; Rodentia; Cricetidae
Source: RefSeq, a predicted model, not a curated record
ACACACACACACACACUCCUCGUCCUCCCUCCCUGUCCUCUUCUUCUGCACUUCGGGUGUUCUAAACCAAAUCAGAUCAAUUUUCGUUUAAUCCAAUGGAACCCCGGAGACUCACCAUCCCCGGAGUUUGCGUUCUUUGCGCCCAGCGGCGGCGCACUCUAGACCUAGGGUGAUUGAAGAUGUAACCUUUCAGCUUCCUGCUCUGGCUGCCAGCUGCCAUGCCUACCCUGCUGUUGCAGACGAUCCCUCUGGAACCAUAAUCCAACACAACCUCUUUCUUCUCAUCGCUCACUGGAGCUCUGUCCACGUCGCCUCAACAAGUGUCUGCUGCAUUGGCCCUAGCUGUUGCCAUGAACACCACAGAGCCUGCCUGCCAUGUUUCCUUUUUUAAUCCCCACAGCUGGCCGGAAGACCCUGGCUACUUUCAGCAGCGCAGCACGCAGCGUCUGCCUCCCUGUUCCCUUACAGACCCAGUUCAACCAGUGUUCUUGCAUUUUAUCCACAGCCAUUUGCAAAUUCAUGUGCCUUUAUUGGGAGAAACACCCAGUGUGCACAUGGAUCUAUAAUGCUGAAUUUAGGUUUUCUAUCUUCUCUCUUCAUUUGUAAUGAAAAUGCCCGCACAGAUCAAACUGCUAAUACUGUAGCUUUGAAAACAAAUGGAGUCCUUGUAGAAAUCAAUUGUUUCCUAAUUAAUUAGUAAUACCCCGUGAAGGAAAAAUAAAAAGUUAAGUAAUUUGUUCAAAGCAAAGGCACUCUCAUGGUGAAACCUCCCUCGGUUUGUAUAGCUAGUUUAUUUAUUACCCACUUUCACUGUUGUACAGAUCAUUUAGAUAGAAAACUAAUAAGGAACAGAAUGAGCUGCAUUUUAAACUCAGUGAAUUGAACAGGUAUUUGUAGGAUGUUCCAUAUACCAGCAACAGAGCACACAUUCUUCUCAAAUGUGUAUAGAAUGCUUUCCACUUUGGAUCAUAUAUUAGGCCACAAAAUAAGUAUUAAUAAAUGUAGGAAAACUAAAAUCA